RNAcentral lists this unclassified non-coding RNA (195 nucleotides) under soil metagenome. RNAcentral's name for it is "partial internal transcribed spacer 1". The record is from RNAcentral.
UCGAGUUUUGAACGGGUUGUUGCUGGCCUCAUACGGGGCAUGUGCACGCCUGACUUCAUCCACUCUUCAACCCCUGUGCAACUUAUUGUAGGCUAGCGUGAAAGGUCGCAUUCAUUUGCGGCUGGAGGCCUGUCUACGUUUUACUACAAACGCUUCAGUUAUAGAAUGUUUAUCUGCGUAUAACGCAUUUAUAUA